GAAGUAGUUAGUCUAACCUUCGGGAGGACGAUUACCACUUUGUGUUUCAUGACUGGGGUGAAGUCGUAACAAGGUAACCA
Molecule: ribosomal RNA, 80 nt
Filed under: uncultured bacterium
Lineage: Bacteria
Description: partial 16S ribosomal RNA
Source: RNAcentral